Molecule: unclassified non-coding RNA, 345 nt
Filed under: soil metagenome
Description: partial contains 5.8S ribosomal RNA, internal transcribed spacer 2, and large subunit ribosomal RNA
Rfam family: 5.8S ribosomal RNA (bases 1-120)
Source: RNAcentral
GAUGAAGAACGUAGCGAAAUGCGAUACGUAAUGUGAAUUGCAGAAUUCAGUGAAUCAUCGAGUCUUUGAACGCACAUUGCGCCCCCUGGUAUUCCGGGGGGCAUGCCUGUCCGAGCGUCAUUGCUGCCCUCAAGCACGGCUUGUGUGUUGGGCCUCCGUCCUCCUCCCGGGGGACGGGCCCGAAAGGCAGCGGCGGCACCGCGUCCGGUCCUCGAGCGUAUGGGGCUUCGUCACCCGCUCUUGUAGGCCCGGCCGGCGCUUGCCGACACAUCAAUCUUUUUUCCAGGUUGACCUCGGAUCAGGUAGGGAUACCCGCUUAACUUAAGCAUAUCAAUAAGCGGAGGA